CCUACGGGCGGCAGCAGUGGGGAAUAUUGCGCAAUGGGCGAAAGCCUGACGCAGCGACGCCGCGUGAGGGAUGAAGGUCUUCGGAUCGUAAACCUCUGUCAGCAGGGAAGAACGGUCACUGUGCUAAUCAGCAGUGAAUUGACGGUACCUGCAAAGGAAGCACCGGCUAACUCCGUGCCAGCAGCCGCGGUAAUACGGGGGGUGCGAGCGUUCAUCGGAAUUACUGGGCGUAAAGCGCUCGUAGGCGGUAUGUCAAGUCAAGGGUGAAAUCCCCGCGCUCAACGUGGGAACUGCCUUUGAAACUGGCAGACUGGAGUGUGUGAGAGGAUAGUGGAAUUCCAGGUGGAGGAGUGAAAUCCGUAGAUAUCUGGAGGAACAUCAGUGGCGAAGGCGACUAUCUGGCACAUAACUGACGCUGAGGAGCGAAAGCGUGGGUAGCAAACAGGAUUAGAUACCCCUGUAGUG
Molecule: ribosomal RNA, 465 nt
Filed under: uncultured bacterium
Lineage: Bacteria
Description: partial 16S ribosomal RNA
Rfam family: Bacterial small subunit ribosomal RNA
Source: RNAcentral